UACAUCAACAUUGAAAAUGCAUUGUUGUGUUCCUUUUUGUAGAAAUAGUACCGAAAAUGUCUCUAAAACAGAUGGAAUCAGUUUCCAUGCUUUCCCGGACGAGGACUCUGGUCCCCUGCGAGCCCAGUGGUUACGCAGCCUGGGAAUGCAAGGUCAAGUGCCGGCUAGUGCGGCAGUCUGCUCCCAGCACUUCCUGCACGAGGACAUGCGAGACGCGCGCGGUGAAAGGUGUCUCCGCGCCGGUGCUGUGCCUACUGCAGUACAGGUUUGCCUGAUAUGCCUGGACACUGAUAGCCCAAUGAUUUCAAUGAGUAAAUACAACUUGGGAGAAGCAUAUGUACACUUAACUGGUUAUUCUGUAAGUUCUUCAUCAGUUAUACGGUUGUGUAAUGAAGGAAACCUGAGGCAUAUACUUUGUAUGGAAUGUGCUCAGAGAUUGACACACAUUAGUAAAUUCAGAGAAAAGAGCUUAAGAGCUCGUACCCUGCUGAUGGACUUAAUUGAGAAAUAUCAAAUGAUAACGCCACUGGACACUGCGCACUUGCGUUCGCAGAGAACGCUGGAUUCCAGCCAAGCCUGUUGCACGCUAGGUUCAGACCCAUGUGACCUGCACAUGCUUGAUGGUACGAGUACAUAUGCGCAGACAGACCUUCAGUUAGGCAGCUGCUUAGGUCUAGACAUGCCGCAGGCCCGGGAAAGUGCAGAUGGGGAUAGCGUAGACAUUAUCCGCCAAAUAGCUUUGCUGGAUAAGGCUCAAUUCAUCAGGCAACUUCAUCAGCACCACUCUGUACUGAGAUGCUGGGUGAAACUGACUAGAAUAUCACUUUUGGAAGACAUUGGAUCUUGUAAGACUCGCGCGAUGUCGUCCUCUGGUGAGACGUCUCUAGUCAGUGAGGACAAGACAGUUCCAGCUUCCAUGUGGUCUUUCAUGGAUCGAAUGAGCCGCACGAUGAAUUCUUGAGGAAUUCGAGCCUAUUCGGCGAUGACAGCAUCUUGAAGGUCUUGGGGGGUCGUUGGGGCUGAAUCGCGUGACCGUACUCGACGUUUUAACUCGUCCCAGAGGUGCUCUAUCGGAUUGAGAUCUGGACUUCUGGGUGGCCACUGCAUAACUGGAAUCCCAACCUCUUAAUAUGCCUUGCAACCGAGUCUUGCGUCGGAUUAUGCAGCAAAGAGUUACU
This is an RNA transcript of Pararge aegeria (speckled wood butterfly), 1178 nucleotides long. RefSeq lists it as uncharacterized. The transcript is spliced from 8 exons. NCBI's taxonomy places the organism in Eukaryota, Metazoa, Arthropoda, Insecta, Lepidoptera, Nymphalidae. The record is from RefSeq and is a predicted model, not a curated record.